RNAcentral lists this ribosomal RNA (508 nucleotides) under uncultured bacterium. Its description in RNAcentral is "partial 16S ribosomal RNA". It matches the Rfam family "Bacterial small subunit ribosomal RNA", at positions 28 to 507 of the family's 1533-position model. The record is from RNAcentral.
GACGAACGCUGGCGGCGUGCCUAAUACAUGCAAGUCGAACGCUUCUUUCCUCCCGAGUGCUUGCACUCAAUUGGAAAGAGGAGUGGCGGACGGGUGAGUAACACGUGGGUAACCUACCCAUCAGAGGGGGAUAACACUUGGAAACAGGUGCUAAUACCGCAUAACAGUUUAUGCCGCAUGGCAUAAGAGUGAAAGGCGCUUUCGGGUGUCGCUGAUGGAUGGACCCGCGGUGCAUUAGCUAAUUGGUGAGGUAACGGCUCACCAAGGCCACGAUGCAUAGCCGACCUGAGAGGGUGAUCGGCCACACUGGGACUGAGACACGGCCCAGACUCCUACGGGAGGCAGCAGUAGGGAAUCUUCGGCAAUGGACGAAAGUCUGACCGAGCAACGCCGCGUGAGUGAAGAAGGUUUUCGGAUCGUAAAACUCUGUUGUUAGAGAAGAACAAGGACGUUAGUAACUGAACGUCCCCUGACGGUAUCUAACCAGAAAGCCACGGCUAACUACGUG